Ziziphus jujuba (common jujube) is the source of this 1603-nucleotide long non-coding RNA. RefSeq lists it as uncharacterized. Lineage: Eukaryota; Viridiplantae; Streptophyta; Magnoliopsida; Rosales; Rhamnaceae. The transcript has 3 exons. The record is from RefSeq and is a predicted model, not a curated record.
GAUUUUCAUCCGACGGUUUAAACGACUGGCGGAGCUGAGUUAGGUGUACUUAAAAGAGUGUAAUUUACGAAUUUCGAAAAGUACACUAAAGUCAUGAACCACAACAAUACUGCUACAGAGUUCUAGCAAAAUGGUGAAAGUGCAAACAAUUAUUCCAGCACAACUUGUUUAUAUAUAAAGGAAGUAUUUCAAUAUUUUGCCUGUAAUACGAGUAAAUACCAAGGGGAAAAAAUAAAAAAUAAAAAUAAAAAAUAACAAACAAACAAACUUCAGAGUGAGGAGCAGAGUCUAGGGUACUGAGUUUAGAAUAUAGCAAAAAUGUAUGGUAAAAGACAUUGUGUAUAUACAGAGAAUUUCCAUAUGUUUUUGGACACAUAGUGAUGCUAGGACACUAGCAGCUAUACACAUUAUAAUUACUUAUUAUACCACAUUCACAACCUUUUUUGUCAAAUACAAGGUGCUUAAGAAUGAUGUUUUAUUGUAUAUCCUCAAUUUAUUAUUUUUUACGAUCAUAUUUUCUGCAUCUAGACAAAGCAUUUACAGCUUUACCAGCUCACCUCUUCUUCUCUGCUGCUUGUCUUCUGGUGAUGUUCUUCCCUAACAUCCGUCUACAACCCCAUCUCUUCCAAUCAGCUCCCUCUGGCCGUAAUCAGCGAUAUUUACCUUCUAGACUUGAUGGAUCCGUCUGGGUUUGUUCAGGAAAUCUCUUCCAAGGUCAGCAGAGUGGUGGUUUCGGAUCACUACAAGACCGCAGUAGAUUGCAGUGAGAGUUCUUGUUCAGUUGGUGAGAAUGCGGAGAGGGUUAUUGACAUCCGGAGGAGUGGAGCUACUGUUGUUUUUUAUUAUUUCAAGGAAAGAGCUGGUAGUGGUCUAAAAGAUUUGAAUUUUGUUUCGAUGAGGGUUUGAUCUUUGAAUCCAUCUUCUUUCAAGCGGGUAAUUUGUUUUUAUCGGUUUAUUGAUUUUUUAUUUUAUUUUAUUUUAUUUUUUAAAGUUGUAAAGCUACAAAAUUCUCUCUUUAUUUGGGUGUAUAAGGCUUUUGCAUUUGCUUUUUUUGAAUUUGGAGGAUGUAAUUAGUCAAGGAUUAACCGGCUUAUCCUAGAAGCAGGAAUGAUUCUCUCGAUCAAUCAUAUGAGAUUGCUCUUGUGGCUGGAGCAUUUGGAGAUUGCCUGGUAUAGUCAAUGCUAUUAAAGCUGAUUCUGUAUUGGAGUUGAGGAGUGAACUUGGACAUAAAUUAGCCAACAAAAGCUGUAAUCUAAAGUUGAGGCGUUGAGGCUCAGCAGACAGAACUAUGAAAUUCUAGGAUCUUGAAACCUUCGAACUGAUUGGAUAUACAAGCCUCAGAGUCACCGCAUUCGACGUCUACUUGGUGAGCGAGCAGGUCUGCAGCCGAAGAAAGCUUGAGAGAGAGAAGAGAAAGAGAGAGAGAGUAGGUCUGCAGCUGGUGUUCUUUUUUAUAUUUUUUAUCAUUAAAGAAUGUUGCACUCAACAUGUUCUAUGGUGCAAUACAUUGUUAAAAAAUAAUUGUAAAUUUGGAUGAUUUGUGAAAGAAAAAUUUCAAUGCAAUUUUGAUGAUAAUUAAAAAGAUCCUCACCUUAAAAGCAUA